RNAcentral lists this ribosomal RNA (497 nucleotides) under uncultured bacterium. RNAcentral's name for it is "partial 16S ribosomal RNA". It matches the Rfam family "Bacterial small subunit ribosomal RNA", at positions 28 to 507 of the family's 1533-position model. The record is from RNAcentral.
GAUGAACGCUGGCGGCGUGCCUAAUACAUGCAAGUCGAGCGAACAGACGAGGAGCUUGCUCCUCUGACGUUAGCGGCGGACGGGUGAGUAACACGUGGAUAACCUACCUAUAAGACUGGGAUAACUUCGGGAAACCGGAGCUAAUACCGGAUAAUAUAUUGAACCGCAUGGUUCAAUAGUGAAAGACGGUUUUGCUGUCACUUAUAGAUGGAUCCGCGCCGCAUUAGCUAGUUGGUAAGGUAACGGCUUACCAAGGCAACGAUGCGUAGCUGACCUGAGAGGGUGAUCAGCCACACUGGAACUGAGACACGGUCCAGACUCCUACGGGAGGCAGCAGUAGGGAAUCUUCCGCAAUGGGCGAAAGCCUGACGGAGCAACGCCGCGUGAGUGAUGAAGGUCUUCGGAUCGUAAAACUCUGUUAUUAGGGAAGAACAAAUGUGUAAGUAACUAUGCACGUCUUGACGGUACCUAAUCAGAAAGCCACGGCUAACUACGUG